Molecule: ribosomal RNA, 752 nt
Filed under: uncultured bacterium
Lineage: Bacteria
Description: bacterial SSU rRNA
Rfam family: Bacterial small subunit ribosomal RNA
Source: RNAcentral
UGAUUCUUCGGAUGAAGAUCUAGGUGACUGAGUGGCGGACGGGUGAGUAACGCGUGGGUAACCUGCCUCAUACAGGGGGAUAACAGUUAGAAAUGACUGCUAAUACCGCAUAAGACCACAGCACCGCAUGGUGCAGGGGUAAAAACUCCGGUGGUAUGAGAUGGACCCGCGUCUGAUUAGGUAGUUGGUGGGGUAACGGCCUACCAAGCCGACGAUCAGUAGCCGACCUGAGAGGGUGACCGGCCACAUUGGGACUGAGACACGGCCCAAACUCCUACGGGAGGCAGCAGUGGGGAAUAUUGCACAAUGGGGGAAACCCUGAUGCAGCGACGCCGCGUGAGCGAUGAAGUAUUUCGGUAUGUAAAGCUCUAUCAGCAGGGAAGAAAAUGACGGUACCUGACUAAGAAGCACCGGCUAAAUACGUGCCAGCAGCCGCGGUAAUACGUAUGGUGCAAGCGUUAUCCGGAUUUACUGGGUGUAAAGGGAGCGUAGACGGAGUGGCAAGUCUGAUGUGAAAACCCGGGGCUCAACCCCGGGACUGCAUUGGAAACUGUCAAUCUAGAGUACCGGAGAGGUAAGCGGAAUUCCUAGUGUAGCGGUGAAAUGCGUAUGAUAUUAGGAGGAACACCAGUGGCGAAGGCGGCUUACUGGACGGUAACUGACGUUGAGGCUCGAAAGCGUGGGGAGCAAACAGGAUUAGAUACCCUGGUAGUCCACGCCGUAAACGAUGACUACUAGGUGUCGGGCAGCAA